Molecule: ribosomal RNA, 253 nt
Filed under: uncultured bacterium
Lineage: Bacteria
Description: partial 16S ribosomal RNA
Rfam family: Bacterial small subunit ribosomal RNA
Source: RNAcentral
GAUCAUGGCUCAGGACGAACGCUGGCGGCGUGCUUAACACAUGCAAGUCGAACGCUGAAGCUCAGCUUUUGUUGGGUGGAUGAGUGGCGAACGGGUGAGUAACACGUGAGUAACCUGCCCCCUUCUUUGGGAUAACGCCCGGAAACGGGUGCUAAUACUGGAUAUUCACUGGUCUUCGCAUGGGGGUUGGUGGAAAGGGUUUUUCUGGUGGGGGAUGGGCUCGCGGCCUAUCAGCUUGUUGGUGGGGUGAUGG